This 353-nucleotide long non-coding RNA is filed under the name Gallus gallus (chicken). RNAcentral's name for it is "lncRNA (ENSGALG00010004882.1)". Lineage: Eukaryota; Metazoa; Chordata; Aves; Galliformes; Phasianidae. The record is from RNAcentral.
AGUGACUUGCUUUCACUUGGAAUUUGUGCUGUGGAUCACAGCCUGCUUCCAGUGAAGUGUCCCUGUGUUCCUGAGAGAAAAAGAAAAAGGAAGAUUUGAUUCAGUAGCAGAGCGAAGCAUGUGUUCAAUUACAAAAGCAGUAUAAUCUCUGCCGGCAUUCCAGGCUCCACUCUACCCUUGUGAGGCCCCAUCUGGAGUACCGCAUCCAUGUCCCCAGUGCAAGAAAGCUGUAGAGCUGUUGGAGCAGGUCCAAGAGAGAGCCAAGAAGAUGAUCAAAGGGCUGGAGCACCUCUUCUGUGAAGAAAGGUUGAGGGAGCUGGGCUUGUUCAGCCUGGAGAAGAAAAGAUUCUGGG